UAUGGUCAACAACUCUACUAAAUGAGUACGAGUACUGAACUAGCACAAAAGUCUUCCAACUGCCCUGUCUUCUCCGCUAUUCCACCGAAGUGUAUCAAAAACAUACCUUCCCUCCCCUGUAAAAAAGGGAGUUAGAACCUUCUAUUACUACUCUGCUUAGGCGGGUGGUCCCCUUGGACUAGAUCAAACUGGACUCCCUGCUAUCGCUAUCGAGGAACCUUGAAACUACUGGAGAACGGCCGUACUACUCACCUUCAAGGGGUGCUUUCUAUCGACCGGAAGUACUUCUUUCUUGCCAAGCGAGUAAGCCCAGUUUAGUAUUAACAUAUAGUAAAGAGUAAGUCCUAACCAAGUGGAAUGGGAACUUAUCCUCCAAAAACUUUGAAUCAACAUUUGCUCCUCCUCUAGUCCAUUCAUGCUCGUCUUGAGCAACCAUUAGACUUAACAAUUGAAGAUGCAUGCACACCCUGUCUUCUCCGCUAUUACACCAAAGUGUAUAAAAACAUACCUUCCCUCCCUUGUAAAAAAGGGAAUUAGAACCUUCUAUUACUACUCUGCUUAGGCAGGUGGUACCCUUGGACCAGAUCAAACUGGACUCCCUGCUAUCGCUAUCGAGGAACCUUGAAACUAUUGGAGAGCGACCGUACUACUCACCUUCAAGGGGUGCUUUCUAUCGAUCGGAAGUACUUCUUUCUUGCCAAGCGAAUAAGCCUAGUUUAGUAUUAACAUAUAGUAAAGAGUAAGUCCUAACCAAGUGGAAUGGGAACUUAUCCUCCAAAAACUUUGAAUCAACAUUUGCUCCUCCUCUAGUCCAUUCAUGCUCGUCUUGAGCAACCAUUAGACUUAACAAUUGAAGAUGCAUGCACAAUAGCUUUCUCGGCCCAUCAUCGGUAGGGGUCAUUGAAUGAACCAGCGGGCAUCAUCUGGAAUAACCACUUUACGGGACAAAAG
This 951-nucleotide long non-coding RNA is filed under the name Linum usitatissimum (flax). RNAcentral's name for it is "long non-coding RNA (LUSI_LNC006935)". The record is from RNAcentral. Lineage: Eukaryota; Viridiplantae; Streptophyta; Magnoliopsida; Malpighiales; Linaceae.